GAAAUGCGAUAAGUAAUGUGAAUUGCAGAAUUCAGUGAAUCAUCGAAUCUUUGAACGCACAUUGCGCCCGCUAGUAUUCUGGCGGGCAUGCCUGUCCGAGCGUCAUUUCAACCCUCAGGCCCUGGUUGCCUGGUGUUGGGGCGCCGCGUCCCCCAGCGGGCGCGGGCCCCGAAAGUCAGUGGCGGGCUCGCCAGGACUCCGAGCGCAGUAAUUUACACCUCGCUGCGGAGGACCUGGCGGGACACCCGGCCGUAAAACACCCCAAACUUCUAAGGUUGACCUCGGAUCAGGUAGGAAUACCCGCUGAACUUAA
RNAcentral lists this unclassified non-coding RNA (313 nucleotides) under uncultured Phaeoacremonium. Its description in RNAcentral is "sequence contains ITS1". The stretch from base 1 to 105 matches the Rfam family "5.8S ribosomal RNA", at positions 50 to 154 of the family's 154-position model. Lineage: Eukaryota; Fungi; Ascomycota; Sordariomycetes. The record is from RNAcentral.